UGGGGAAUAUUGCGCAAUGGGCGAAAGCCUGACGCAGCGACGCCGCGUGAGGGAUGAAGGUUUUCGGAUCGUAAACCUCUGUCAGAAGGGAAGAAUAGGAAGCGUGCUAAUCAGCGUUUCUGUGACGGUACCUUCAAAGGAAGCACCGGCUAACUCCGUGCCAGCAGCCGCGGUAAUACGGAGGGUGCAAGCGUUAAUCGGAAUUACUGGGCGUAAAGCGCAUGUAGGCUGUACGGCAAGUUGGAGGUGAAAUCCCACGGCUCAACCGUGGAACUGCCUUCAAAACUACCGAACUGGAGUGCGAGAGAGGAUAGCGGAAUUCCAGGUGUAGGAGUGAAAUCCGUAGAUAUCUGGAAGAACAUCAGUGGCGAAGGCGGCUAUCUGGCUCGUAACUGACGCUGAGAUGCGAAAGCGUGGGUAGCAAACAGGAUUAGAUACCCUGGUAGU
This 447-nucleotide ribosomal RNA is filed under the name uncultured Desulfovibrio sp. RNAcentral's name for it is "bacterial SSU rRNA". It matches the Rfam family "Bacterial small subunit ribosomal RNA", at positions 355 to 794 of the family's 1533-position model. Lineage: Bacteria; Pseudomonadati; Thermodesulfobacteriota; Desulfovibrionia; Desulfovibrionales; Desulfovibrionaceae. The record is from RNAcentral.